This 499-nucleotide ribosomal RNA is filed under the name uncultured bacterium. Its description in RNAcentral is "partial 16S ribosomal RNA". It matches the Rfam family "Bacterial small subunit ribosomal RNA", at positions 28 to 507 of the family's 1533-position model. The record is from RNAcentral.
GACGAACGCUGGCGGCGUGCCUAAUACAUGCAAGUCGUGCGGACCUUUUAAAAGCUUGCUUUUAAAAGUUUAGCGGCGGACGGGUGAGUAACACUUGGGCAACCUCCCUGUAAGACGGGGAUAACGCCGGGAAACCGGGGCUAAUACCAGAUCGUUUUUUCCUCCGCAUGGAGGAAAAAGGAAAGGCGGCUUCGGCUGCCACUUACAGAUGGGCCCGCGGCGCAUUAGCUAGUUGGCGGGGUAACGGCCCACCAAGGCAACGAUGCGUAGCCGACCUGAGAGGGUGAUCGGCCACAUUGGGACUGAGACACGGCCCAAACUCCUACGGGAGGCAGCAGUAGGGAAUCUUCCGCAAUGGACGAAAGUCUGACGGAGCAACGCCGCGUGAGUGAAGAAGGCCUUCGGGUCGUAAAACUCUGUUGCCGGGGAAGAACAAGUGCCGUUCGAACAGGGCGGCGCCUUGACGGUACCCGGCCAGAAAGCCACGGCUAACUACGUG